This 556-nucleotide transfer RNA is filed under the name Bradyrhizobium elkanii. RNAcentral describes it as "partial contains 16S-23S ribosomal RNA intergenic spacer and 23S ribosomal RNA". The stretch from base 199 to 272 matches the Rfam family "tRNA". Lineage: Bacteria; Pseudomonadati; Pseudomonadota; Alphaproteobacteria; Hyphomicrobiales; Nitrobacteraceae. The record is from RNAcentral.
CCUYRAUCAGCUCACGCUAUCUAUCGGAUCGUUUUAGAAACAUUCAGGGGCCAACAGUUUCAGGAUUGUUGAGCUCCAUUGGCGGGAUUUCGCCGUCUUCGUUUCUCUUUCUUCGCGGACRAACACGCGCCAGGGGCUGAGCGCUGUGCGGUGCACCGACUAAGCGUCGCGUGCGCGCCGGCAUGUCUCUCGUGUUAGGGGCUUGUAGCUCAGUUGGUUAGAGCGCGCGCUUGAUAAGCGUGAGGUCGGAAGUUCAAGUCUUCCCAGGCCCACCAUUUUGAUCGAGUGCGGAGCAUUCGUCUUCUGGUACGGGGCCAUAGCUCAGCUGGGAGAGCGCGUGCUUUGCAAGCAUGAGGUCGUCGGUUCGAUCCCGUCUGGCUCCACCAGAUGGUUUGAUCACCAACGGCGUUACCGUCGUCCGCGAAACAUCACUUCGCACUCAUUGGUCCGGAUGGACGGUGACGUGCGUGUUUUCUGACAUCGUAAAGAGGAGAUCGAUCCGAGUUUGGAUCAAGCGAASSAAUUCUUCMGAACCMMUCUUUGUCUCCGGGAUCAC